RNAcentral lists this ribosomal RNA (437 nucleotides) under uncultured bacterium. Its description in RNAcentral is "bacterial SSU rRNA". It matches the Rfam family "Bacterial small subunit ribosomal RNA", at positions 958 to 1398 of the family's 1533-position model. The record is from RNAcentral.
AACGCGAAGAACCUUACCGGGGCUUGACAUCGGAGGACAACUCUAGAAAUAGAGCUUAGGGGCAACCCUACUUCCAGACAGGUGCUGCAUGGCUGUCGUCAGCUCGUGCCGUGAGGUGUUGGGUUAAGUCCCGCAACGAGCGCAACCCUCGUCGUGUGUUGGUCCACAAGAUCUCUCACACGAGACCGCCGGUGAGAAGCCGGAGGAAGGUGGGGAUGACGUCAAGUCAGCAUGGCCCUUACGUCCCGGGCUACACACGUGCUACAAUGCGCCGAACAACGAGCUGCGAACCCGCGAGGGUAAGCCAAUCUCUUAAAUCGGCGCUCAGUUCGGAUUGAAGGCUGCAACUCGCCUUCAUGAAGUCGGAAUCGCUAGUAAACGCAGAUCAGCUACGCUGCGUUGAAUACGUUCCCGGGCCUUGUACACACCGAGACGAC